GACGAACGCUGGCGGCGUGCUUAACACAUGCAAGUCGAACGGAAAGGCUCCAGCUUGCUGGAGUGCUCGAGUGGCGAACGGGUGAGUAACACGUGGGCAAUCUGCCCUGCACUCUGGGAUAAGCCUGGGAAACUGGGUCUAAUACCGGAUAGGACCUUUCUCCUCAUGGGGUUUGGUGGAAAGUUUUUCGGUGCAGGAUGAGCCCGCGGCCUAUCAGCUUGUUGGUGGGGUAAUGGCCUACCAAGGCGACGACGGGUAGCCGGCCUGAGAGGGUGAUCGGCCACAUUGGGACUGAGAUACGGCCCAGACUCCUACGGGAGGCAGCAGUGGGGAAUAUUGCACAAUGGGCGAAAGCCUGAUGCAGCGACGCCGCGUGAGGGAUGACGGCCUUCGGGUUGUAAACCUCUUUCAGUAGGGACGAAGCGCAAGUGACGGUAUCUGCAGAAGAAGCACCGGCUAACUACGUG
RNAcentral lists this ribosomal RNA (467 nucleotides) under uncultured bacterium. RNAcentral's name for it is "partial 16S ribosomal RNA". It matches the Rfam family "Bacterial small subunit ribosomal RNA", at positions 28 to 507 of the family's 1533-position model. The record is from RNAcentral.